GAAAAGGAACCGAACUGGCAUAAAGUCACCAGAAUAAGACGGGAGGUAUGCAAAGUAUCACAGCACUAGGAUGAAGUCAUUGCUGAUCGUGGUGCUUGUGGUGGUGUGUCUAUUGCUGACUGAAUCUGAUGGAAAACGCAAAACCAAGAAAAAUAGGAUCUCAUUACCCAGAGGAGUGAAGAAGAUUCAAGAGGCCCUGGACCCUAAUCGAAUUGUAAAUACUUUGAAAUGGAAAACUAGAUCCAAAGAUCUGGCUAAAGUAACAGAGGACGCCAUUGUAAAUGAACAU
Oncorhynchus mykiss (rainbow trout) is the source of this 289-nucleotide long non-coding RNA. RefSeq lists it as uncharacterized. The record is from RefSeq and is a predicted model, not a curated record. Lineage: Eukaryota; Metazoa; Chordata; Actinopteri; Salmoniformes; Salmonidae.